This 4923-nucleotide long non-coding RNA is filed under the name Homo sapiens (human). RNAcentral's name for it is "HSALNT0341740". The record is from RNAcentral. Lineage: Eukaryota; Metazoa; Chordata; Mammalia; Primates; Hominidae.
ACGGGAGGAGGCGGGAGCCGGGAAGGAGGGGAGCCUAGGCCCGGCGUGGGGAGGCCGGCAGGAAGGGCCUCGAGCCCAGUGCGGACCUUUCUUCAGCCUCUGUGCGACCGAGCCGCGCGCCAGGCUCCUGUGCGAGGAGGACGCGCUGACUCCCUCCGACCUGGGCUCCGAUGGAGCAGAAAUAGCGGGACCUGGACUUGUGGCGCGCCUGGUGCCACAUCUCGGGCUCUGCGAGCGUCCUGGCGCGGGAUCCUGCCUGUUCCCUUCUUUUCGCCAGGUUUGCAUCCAAGAGAGGGGAGGACAGGGGCAAAAGGAUGCAGGGAGGCUGCUGAUUUCCACUGAAGAGCUAAUUUCCUGUGAGACAUUAACAGUGAUUUAAGAAAAAGAUUCCUGUAACUGUAAUGUCUUACAAUAACAGAAUGCAGGAGAGCACAUAUCAAUGAAGAAAAGACAAAAUGUACUUAUCCAUGAAGCUGAGGUUAAGAAACCAGUGUCUUCAAGAGCCAGGGACAGCACUGGGUCUGUGCAGAGUUGAGAGAUGGUGAUGACAUGUGGUUUCCAGCAUUCCUCACCCAGUCCAGGGACACUGUGGGUGUGCCCAGCUUAAGUCCAGUAACUGGAAAUACAAGCCCAAGUUCUGGAGAGUUUGAGCUGCAGAGAUAUAUAUGGGAACACUUUGAAUCUUGACUCAUUGGCCAUAACCAGCAGAGUGGAAAAUACAAGAAGAGAAAAAAACAUUGAACUGCGAUUUUAUAACAUCCUUUACUAGGCAGAGAGAAGAGGAAACACCAGGAAAGAAAACUGUAUUACGAUGUGAAAACUUAAUGUUGAGAAAUUCAGGCAUCUUGGGGUUAGUGAGGAGAAGUUUUAGGGGCUUAGAUUCUUCUAAACACAUGUACAGAAAUGCAUAUUUCAUCUGAUAUCAAAUGGCAUUUAUAGUGCUAAUCUUUACCUCAAGACUUCACAUCUUUUGGUGAUUGCAUCUUUUAGGUUUAUAGCAGCUAAGUUUGCAUGAAAACACCAGGGCUGUUUCAUUUCAGUCAAGAAUUAAUGUUCAUUGAUUGUGCUUCUGCAUUUCAUGUAACUAUUGUAGAAUUUGUUUUAGUUUUAUGAGGGAAUAAUUGUUCCAACUUCUAUAUAACUCAGGAAUUUACUCUCAAACAACACUGUCAAUUAGUUACUUAUCUCUCUGGAAAUGAUCUGGGAACAUGGAGAGGAAAGGGAGGAAGGGGCAAAAUCUGACCACUUAAAUCUAAGCAUAUUAGAUCAUUUUAUGCUAGAAAGUCCUGAAUGAUGUGACUUUCGUUCUUGUAAAACACCUCUUUCCAUAGAUUCAUGGCCCAAACAGUAUAUAAAGAGUGGGGAAGGAACUGCAUUUGCAAAUAGUUCAAAUCAUUGCUCCAUCUUAACUACGCAGUUCACAAAGUGUGAAGAAAUGUGAUCAUCUCAAAAAAGAUAAUGGGGAAAAAAUAUGUUUUGUUCUGUGACUUUAAAGUCUUGCAAUAUUUUACAUAAAUGAUAAUGGGUGCUUUAAUAAGAACUCUUGAUACUUUUGUUAUUGUAUUCAAUAUAUGCAUAUAAUACAACAGGAUGAUAUUGUUUUGGAUUUGGAAAUGUAUUCUUUCUUAUGCAAUCUUAUGCAGUCAUACUGCUUGAAUAUCAUUACCUGAAUUUAUCUUUCUUUUUUUUGUUGUUGUUUUACACUCUACUUAUUUGGUGCCUGUCAGUCUUUUGUCGUCAGUUUAUAUUCUACUAAACUCAAAAAGACAAUCUCAUACCUUUUGUAAUUGUAGGCAUUCUUUACUAGAUUUUUAAAUACACUUCAAAAAUUCAAGUACUUUGAUUUCAUGCCAUCAAGUAGCUGAAUCUAUCCCCCCGUCUCUUUUUAAAUUUAAGUGAGUAGUUCAAUUUCUGUCACUUUCUACUUUGUGAAUUCUAAAUCUUUUAAAACCAUCUUGCCAUUUUUCGUGCACUUACCCUUACAGAAAACUCUGUGAAACACUACUUAUCUCUACUUUUAUGUUUUUAACUCCUUUUUUAUAUUACUAUUCCCUCUGCUUUCUAAAUGCACAUAUUAAUUUGUUCUUUUUAUUCUCUGUAGCUCUUCUCAGUGUAUGAAUUCAGUUUCCCAUCAGUCUCCAUACAAUUAAAAAAAAGUUGAGUAUUCUGUUAUUUUAAUAAGAUAUCUAGUGCCCAUAUUCUAAUUCUGCCCCUUAUUUUUAAUAUAAUUUUAUUGUUGAUUUAAAAUGACAACAGUUUCAAUUCCCAGAAAGUGAAAGGAAACAAAGGAAUAAUAUUAUAGGCUUAAUUUUUAUCAGUGAACUUGUAGGUGAAGAAAAGAUUUGGGGAAGGAAAUGAACAUAUUAUAUUGCAAAAUAGUAAGGAACAAUCAGAUGUGUUUUCUAGUCUCUGGAAAAGCAUGUUUCAAGAAAUUCAAUGAAAAGUUCAUCAUGCUUGCUUAGAUUGUUGAGAAGCAAAAACACUGAUGAACAUUUGGAAGCAAUGAGAAUGUAAUUCUAAUCAUACUCUUUUAAUAAUGUUGCAAAACUCUCCAAACACUACUCUGUGUGGAUGUCUUUCAGAAUAUGAUGAAUACUAGUAGUCUUAUUCUGCCCUUUUCUCUCUAUCACAAUAUAUACAUUCUAUAUUGCAUACACAUAUUUUCCAAAUAUUACAUAUAAUUUCAUGUAAUUUAUAGACCUAUUAAGGCCCAACCAUUUUCUUGGAUAGGGGAUUCUUUAGAAGUCCAGCUUAAAUAAAGCCCGUAUAGAAAGUUUUUUUAAAAUUUAUACAUAAUCACCUAAAGUAACCUUAUCUACUGAACUCUUAGUACAUGCUACUGGAACCUUUUAUCAUGUUUCUUCCUGGCUUGCAUUACAACACUGUUGACAUAUCUCAGCCUUACUUCUAGGCUUCUUUGAGAGCAUGACUCAUGUUUGUAUUCCUCACUGAGGUUGAAUGAAUAAGAGAAACUACAGUAGUAGGAAAAAACAGUACAUGUACAUAUCAAUGAAUAUGAAAGGGUCAAAUGGAUCUAUUAUAGUAAGCACAAAAUCAACUGACACCAGCAAAGUAAACCCAAAAUUUUUAAUGGUAUUUUAAUAGAUCAAGAGGAGCAAGCAGAUUUUUGAGACAGUUGUCUCCUACUUUCUCUAUCACAGGGAGUAAUUUUAAAAGAAAAAUGGAGGGUAAGUUUCUUUAAGAGAAAAUUGUAGUUUAAAACAGGUCAUGGGAUAAUUAGAAAUAAUUUAAUUUCUUUAGAGGAUUUUAAUCUUUCAACUGCUUGCAAUUAGAUCCUAAGGCAAUAAAAGAAUAAGGAGAUUUGGAAAACCAUUGUCUGUAAUCUCUGAAGAAAAGUGGACAUUAGGGGAGUCAGUUGAAAAGCAAAGCUAUCACCAUUUUCUAAAGAGGAAAAAGGUGAACCUCACAAACUAUAGACCAAAAAAAUAGGACAUCGAGAGAAAGAAUAUGAAGCUAGCAUAGGUUCACAAAGAAUGAGUCAAAUCAAACAACAUGCAUUUUUUAUUUAUAAAGCAUGACUUGUUCAUUGUCAAUUCAUGUUAGCUUAAUCAUUAGGCAUUAAUGCCAUCACUGCAAUGCAUAUGUCAGCAAUAAAUAAUCAAAGACCAGGCUUCCAUCAUUCUGUUUAAUAUCUUCAAGUAAUGCUUAAGUUUGCAAAUGCUCUUUUAACACAUUCUCCAUAUGCAGCCUGCCCAGCACUGCACACAAUAGACCUGUUACUUCCCCCUCACGAGCACUCCUAAUAUUUCAUGUGCUCAUCCAAUUGACUUCUCCCACUGGUGCCUCAUAUUGAAUUUGUAGAAUCACACCUGCUCCUUUUUCAAAACUCUUCUGAGUUUUUUCUUAAAUAAUUCACUGACCCCAAAGUUGUCAGAUAUUUGAAGACUACUCGCACAAUUUUAAUAUUAUAAAUGUAUAAUGUAAAUGUAAUUAAGAUUUGUAUAAUGUACGAUGUACUUUGGUAAAUAAAAGUAUGCUGUGAAUAAAUACGUAUGAUACAAUUCAAAAUUUUACAUAAAUAUGUGAUAAAAUUUAGCUCAUAUUCUUUUUUUUUUUCUUUGAGACGGAGUCUCACUCUGUUGCACCCAGGCUAGAGUGCAGCAGCAUGAUCUCAGCUCACUGCAACCUCUACCUCCUGGGUUCAAACAAUUCUCCUGCCUCAGCCUCCUGAGUAGCUGGGAUUACAGGUGCCCGCCACCAUGCCCAGCUAAUUUUUUUCUAUUUUUGUUGUUGUUGUUGUUUUUAGUAGAGACGGGGUUUCACCAUGUUGGUCAGGCUGGUCUUGAACUCCUGACCUCAGAUAAUCCACCUGCCUCGGCCUCCCAAAGUUCUGGGAUUACAGACGUGAACCACGGUGCCCGGCCUAGUUCAUGUUCUUUAAGGACAAUUAUGAAUAUUUUUAUGCACUGUUAAUUUUCAUUAAGAUAUUGAUCAAUUAAUAGCUAUAUAUGUUCUAUAAAUUAAUCCUAUCUAGUUUCAAUCUUAAAUUGUUUGCAUAUACCAAUCUAGUUUAUUGUUUGCAUAUAUUUUAUAGUGUAGAGAUUAGGCAUUUUAAUAAAAUUUUAAAAUUUCCAGGACAUACUGUUAAUGACUAUGCUUCCUACUAUAGGCCAUAAUUAAUUUUUUUCUAUUGUCAACAAUAUUUUGGUAGGGAUGAUCAGGAAAUAAGGAAAUGUUUCCUUCAUUUGUUAACAAUAGGUGUUUGGGGAUUUUAAAAUGAAAAUUGAAGAAGUAAAAGACACCAUAUAUUUAGUUUGUUUGAUUUCGUGGCUUCAAGAGUUCAAUAAUUUAUUGAAAUAUUUUACAGACCAAAGAACAACAGAUAUAUUACGUUUAUAAGCCCCCACAUAUUUUAAAGGAUAAUGGUUUAUAUAUGAAAAUUCCCUGAACCUACACUUCAUC